UUUCCGUAGUGAACUGCGGAAGGAUCAUUAAUAAAUGGCUCCUGAUUUGGAGCGCUUAAUAAUCCUACCCUUUGUGAAUUUGUUGCUUGAAAUAAUUUUUUUAAAAUUAUUGAUUGUCUUUCCCUGUUGAAUUGGAGCGUUUCGGACGUAAAGAUUCGCAGGGAUAGUCAGUAAUUUUUAAAAGACUUUUUUUAAAUUAAACUUUGUGUGCAUUCAUUUGUCUAUAAUUAUUUUAUAAUAUAAAACAACUUUUGACAAUGGAUCUCUUGGUUCUCGCAACGAUGAAGAACGCAGCAAAAUGCGAUAAGUAGUGUGAAUUGCAGAAUACGUGAAUCAUCGAAUCUUCGAACGCAUAUUGCACUUUUUAGUUUACUAAAAAGUAUGUCUGUUUGAGUAUCAGUAAAUAUUCUCAUAAAACUUUUUGUUUUUAUGGUUAUGAGUGUUUUACAACGAUACAAGUUGUUUCACUUUAAAUUUUUAAAAUUUGAAUUUUUUUCUAAUUUUAAAUAAAUUGGAUAAAGUUUCCCGUAAAAAGGAAUAACCUAAACAAUUUACUUAUUUUAGAAGAAAUUUCAACCAAAGGAAAAUUUAACAAAAUAACUUGAUCUCAAAUCAGAUAAGAGUACCCGCUGAACUUAAGCAUAUCAUAAGCGGAGGAAAGAAACUGACAAGGAUUCCUUAGUAACGGCGAGUGAAGCGGGAAGAGCUCAAAUUUGAAAUCUUCAAGGUUUUACCUUGACGAAUUGUAGUUUAAAGAAGUGUUUCUGUUGAAGUUUGGUAAAAGUUCUUGGAAUAGGACAUCAUAGAGGGUGAGAAUCCCGUAUUUGACCAUUAUUUUCAGCUGUGUGAUACACUUUCAAGAGUCGGAUUGUUUGGAAUGCAGUCCAAAUGGGUGGUAAAUUUCAUCUAAGCUAAAUAUUGGCGAGAGACCGAUAACGAACAAGUACCGUGAGGAAAGAUGAAAAGAACUUUGAAAAGAGAGUUAAACAGUACGUGAAAUUGUCAAAAGGGAAGCGUUUGACACCAGUGUUGUUUUCUCGAAAAUCAAUUAAAAAGUUGGGUUUGUGUUGUAUUGACCAUAACAGCUUUCUCACUUUUUCCUGCUUUUUUAAUGCACUUUCGUUUAACAAGUCAACAUCAGUUUCUUUUGUUGUAAAAGGGUCAUUGGAAGGUGGCUUUCUUUUCGGAGAAAGUGUUUAUAGCCUUUGAUCUCUGCAAUCGGAGAGACUGAGGUCUGCAGCGUAGACUCUUCGGGUUAGAUACAUUUGUGCUAAGUUAUAACUUUUCAUAGACAACUUGUUGACUAUGUUUAGUCAUGUAGCUUGCUCGCUUAUGCUAU
Molecule: unclassified non-coding RNA, 1339 nt
Filed under: uncultured Neocallimastigales
Lineage: Eukaryota; Fungi; Neocallimastigomycota; Neocallimastigomycetes; Neocallimastigales
Description: partial contains small subunit ribosomal RNA, internal transcribed spacer 1, 5.8S ribosomal RNA, internal transcribed spacer 2, and large subunit ribosomal RNA
Rfam family: Eukaryotic large subunit ribosomal RNA (bases 603-1339)
Source: RNAcentral